This 330-nucleotide long non-coding RNA is filed under the name Trifolium pratense (red clover). RNAcentral describes it as "long non-coding RNA (TPRA_LNC007240)". The record is from RNAcentral. Lineage: Eukaryota; Viridiplantae; Streptophyta; Magnoliopsida; Fabales; Fabaceae.
GAUAAUAUAUACAAUGAAUUCAAAAAUGAUAAGUUUUUUUUUCAUCACAAUCACAAUAUUGGGUGUUACUGCUGCAACUGCAAAACAUGUUUAUGAAAAUGAAAAGACUGCGGAUAUUUUUCUGUGUAACUAUUGGCAUUUGAAAUGUCAGGUACUACAUCUAUUUUGUGACUUGUGGUCCGCAUACUGUCCUCAUUCAACUCCAGCUUCUUCCGUCCCGACAAACCCGCUAGCUGCUCCCGCUUCUUCCGUCCCGACAAACCCGCCAAGAGCUCCCGCUUCUUCCGGUAAUGAUGUCCUCCCGCCAACCCCAGCUUAGCUUGAUGAUCG